RNAcentral lists this ribosomal RNA (468 nucleotides) under uncultured bacterium. RNAcentral's name for it is "partial 16S ribosomal RNA". It matches the Rfam family "Bacterial small subunit ribosomal RNA", at positions 28 to 507 of the family's 1533-position model. The record is from RNAcentral.
GACGAACGCUGGCGGCGUGCUUAACACAUGCAAGUCGAACGGUGAAGCCCCAGCUUGCUGGAGUGGAUCAGUGGCGAACGGGUGAGUAACACGUGAGCAACCUGCCCCUGACUCUGGAAUAAGCGCUGGAAACGGCGUCUAAUACUGGAUACGAGAAGGGUCCGCAUGGGCACUUUCUGGAAAGUUUUUCGGUUGGGGAUGGGCUCGCGGCCUAUCAGCUUGUUGGUGAGGUAAUGGCUCACCAAGGCGACGACGGGUAGCCGGCCUGAGAGGGCGACCGGCCACACUGGGACUGAGACACGGCCCAGACUCCUACGGGAGGCAGCAGUGGGGAAUAUUGCACAAUGGGCGAAAGCCUGAUGCAGCAACGCCGCGUGAGGGAUGACGGCCUGCGGGUUGUAAACCUCUUUCAGCAGGGAAGAAGCGAAAGUGACGGUACCUGCAGAAGAAGCACCGGCUAACUACGUG